UGGGGAAUAUUGGGCAAUGGGCGCAAGCCUGACCCAGCAACGCCGCGUGAGGGAAGAAUGUCUUCGGAUUGUAAACCUCUGUCCUUGGGGACGAAAAAAAUGACGGUACCCAAGGAGGAAGCUCCGGCUAACUACGUGCCAGCAGCCGCGGUAAUACGUAGGGGGCUAGCGUUGUCCGGAAUUACUGGGCGUAAAGGGUGCGUAGGCGGCGUGGCAAGUCAGAUGUGAAAUCCCCGGGCUUAACUCGGGGGGUGCAUUUGAAACUGCCAAGCUUGAGUGCAGGAGAGGAAAGCGGAAUUCCUAGUGUAGCGGUGAAAUGCGUAGAUAUUAGGAGGAACACCAGUGGCGAAGGCGGCUUCCUGGACUGCAACUGACGCUGAGGCACGAAAGCGUGGGGAGCAAACA
Molecule: ribosomal RNA, 405 nt
Filed under: uncultured prokaryote
Description: bacterial SSU rRNA
Rfam family: Bacterial small subunit ribosomal RNA
Source: RNAcentral